AACGAACGCUGGCGGCAGGCCUAACACAUGCAAGUCGAACGGACGUAGCAAUACGUUAGUGGCGCACGGGAGAGUAACACGUGGGAACCUACCUUUUGGUUCGGGAUAACGUCGGGAAACUGACGCUAAUACCGGAUAAGCCCUAUGGGGGAAAGAUUUAUUGCCAAAAGAUGGGCCCGCGUUAGAUUAGCUAGUUGGUGAGGUAAUGGCUCACCAAGGCUACGAUCUAUAGCUGGUCUGAGAGGAUGACCAGCCUCACUGGGACUGAGACACGGCCCAGACUCCUACGGGAGGCAGCAGUGGGGAAUAUUGGACAAUGGGGGCAACCCUGAUCCAGCCAUGCCGCGUGGAUGAUGAAGGCCUUCGGGUUGUAAAGUUCUUUUGGUAGGGACGAUAAUGACGGUACCUACAGAAUAAGCUCCGGCUAACUUCGUGCCAGCCGCCGCUGUAA
Molecule: ribosomal RNA, 451 nt
Filed under: uncultured bacterium
Lineage: Bacteria
Description: partial 16S ribosomal RNA
Rfam family: Bacterial small subunit ribosomal RNA
Source: RNAcentral